This 254-nucleotide ribosomal RNA is filed under the name uncultured bacterium. Its description in RNAcentral is "partial 16S ribosomal RNA". It matches the Rfam family "Bacterial small subunit ribosomal RNA", at positions 524 to 776 of the family's 1533-position model. The record is from RNAcentral.
UACGUAGGGUGCAAGCGUUAAUCGGAAUUACUGGGCGUAAAGCGUGCGCAGGCGGUUUUGUAAGUCUGUCGUGAAAGCCCCGGGCUCAACCUGGGAAUGGCAAUGGAUACUGGCAAGCUAGAGUGCGGUAGAGGGUAGUGGAAUUCCCGGUGUAGCGGUGAAAUGCGUAGAGAUCGGGAGGAACACCAGUGGCGAAAGCGGCGCACUGGACCACAACUGACGCUGAGGCGCGAAAGCGUAGGGGAGCAAACAGG